GUCUUUUUCAUUAAAAUUCCACGCUUAGUUCCGAAAUGGGGAUGGUGGAGCAAACAGAAAUAUAGACGCAUGUGUGUGGAUUUAUUUUGCUAAAGAUGUAUUUUUUAUUAUUAAAAAUAUAUUACAAAAACUUUCGUUCAAUGACAUAACCAGAGAAAUUAUGUUGCUUAAUCUCAAAUCAAACCAAUGUAGUUGGGAUUUAAGUGUAGAUGGUGUUAUCUGUUAAUCAAGGAAAAUAGGACAUCCUGAAUAUAUGUUGGAGUUGCAUUUGCUUGAAAGGGUUUUACCUUUUAGCCUAACAGAUUAUACUUUUGCAUUAUUCUCCUUCAUAAGCAGUAGCUUGUUAUGCAAAUUAUUCUUACCAGGGCGCUUCCGCGAUGGGUCAGAAAUUCAGGACCUCGAGUGCCGACCACGCCUGCUGGUGAUGGCCAUUUCAUUGGAAUAUAAGGGAUGUACUCGCAAAUGUAAACAAAAUUAUGUUUCCAUUGUUUAAGCACUUGGCACGCUUACAGUGCUAAAAUUUAGAAUAAUUUUAACUUUCUGGUACCCAGAAUUUAAGGAUGGAGUUUGUAAAUCCAUCAAGCCCAUCAUAAUAAUAUUAUCUCAAGGAUUCCGGAGCAUCAUUUACAGAGGGUUAACAGAAUUUUAUAAAUGACCUAUGUACUUUGUGUUGAUUGGCUGAAUUACUUCUGCGCAAAGGGAAAGUAUUUUCGUCGGACUCCUUCCGGAUGUGUGCUGCCAGUUCUGUCCGAGAUUCAAGUGUUAUGCAUUUCGCAGAAAUUCAUCAAAGUCAUCGGACACCUUUCAAGUGGAACGGCGUAUCGGACGGCCACAGGAUUUCGCGUUAAGUCCAAAGUCGCAGAGGAAUCAAAAGGAAUUAUAUUUUGAAUUAGAGCUUAUGAACAUAAGUAUAAUGUGUAAAUAGUUGAAAUCUUAAAGCUUUCAGUUCCAUCUUAUUAAAUGGAUCUUAUUGUUUUUAUAGACGCAAUUGCCAAUUUCUGAGA
Molecule: long non-coding RNA, 1004 nt
Organism: Drosophila ananassae
Lineage: Eukaryota; Metazoa; Arthropoda; Insecta; Diptera; Drosophilidae
Exons: 5
Source: RefSeq, a predicted model, not a curated record